GUUUCUCAGUGGUAGAGUGCUUGCCUAGCAUGCAGGAGGCCCUGGGUUUAAUCCCCGGCAACA
RNAcentral lists this transfer RNA (63 nucleotides) under Marmota monax (woodchuck). RNAcentral describes it as "tRNA.Ala". The record is from RNAcentral. Lineage: Eukaryota; Metazoa; Chordata; Mammalia; Rodentia; Sciuridae.